RNAcentral lists this ribosomal RNA (119 nucleotides) under Heteranthelium piliferum. The record is from RNAcentral. Lineage: Eukaryota; Viridiplantae; Streptophyta; Magnoliopsida; Poales; Poaceae.
GGAUGCGAUCAUACCAGCACUAAAGCACCGGAUCCAUCAGAACUCCGAAGUUAAGCGUGCUUGGGCGAGAGUAGUACUAGGAUGGGUGACCUCCUAGGAAGUCCUCGUGUUGCAUUCCC